RNA transcript from Ornithorhynchus anatinus (platypus), 569 nucleotides. RefSeq lists it as uncharacterized. The record is from RefSeq and is a predicted model, not a curated record. The transcript is spliced from 2 exons. NCBI's taxonomy places the organism in Eukaryota, Metazoa, Chordata, Mammalia, Monotremata, Ornithorhynchidae.
GAUAAACCGCAGGGUUCCUCCUCCUGUCUUGAUUGGCCCAGAUUAAACGCGUAGAAUUUUAAUAUGAAAAAGACUGCUCAUCUAUUUGAAAAAAAAAAAAACUGAGAGGGGAAUCAGAUUUUCCGAACUCAAAGGGCAAGUAUGGGGUGAGAGGGAAUGAUGACUGUGGCGUUUAAGUGCUUACUCUGGGCCAGGCACUGUACUAGGUGCUGGGGUUGGACACGGCUGAAAUCUGGGGUCCAGGCUUGAAGGAAGAAAGGCAGCUGUAUGUCAUACCUGUUUAAGUCAACAUGCACAACUUUGAACGCAAAGCCCGAGUGCUUUGGAGAUUUGGAGGCAGGGGUACAAAGCGGGUGUCGAGAGAUUUACUUCUACCGUUUUGAAUCAUCAUCUUUUAAGUGUCAAAAUUCACCGUUCGCCCUCUCCUCUCCCCCCUCCCCCACCCCCAAUCGUUAUGUAUUUGGUCUGUGCCACAAGGGUUAAUUUCCUGAUGUGUUUUUAUCUGCAUGGAAAAGAAUUCAAGCAGAGCAAACAAAAAAGCAAAAAAAAUAAAAAUUAAAAAAAUCGAA